CAGUAUAGUUAGGAGAAUGUGUUGGGAAGCACAAUCAAAGAGGGUGAUAAUCCCGUAUCUAAAAACCAUAUUGUGGUACUAAGCUAACGAGAAGUAGGGCGGGACACGUGAUAUCCUGUUUGAAGAAGGGGGGACCAUCCUCCAAGGCUAAAUACUCCUGAUUGACCGAUAGUGAACCAGUACUGUGAAGGAAAGGCGAAAAGAACCCCGGUGAGGGGAGUGAAAUAGAACCUGAAACCUUGUACGUACAAGCAGUGGGAGCCCGAAAGGGUGACUGCGUACCUUUUGUAUAAUGGGUCAGCGACUUAUAUUUUGUAGCGAGGUUAACCGAAUAGGGGAGCCGAAGGGAAACCGAGUCUUAACUGGGCGAGUAGUUGCAAGGUAUAGACCCGAAACCCGGUGAUCUAGCCAUGGGCAGGUUGAAGGUUGGGUAACACUAACUGGAGGACCGAACCGACUAAUGUUGAAAAAUUAGCGGAUGACUUGUGGCUGGGGGUGAAAGGCCAAUCAAACCGGGAGAUAGCUGGUUCUCCCCGAAAUCUAUUUAGGUAGAGCCUUGAGGUGACACCUUUGGGGGUAGAGCACUGUUUCGGCUAGGGGGCCAUCCCGGCUUACCAACCCGAUGCAAACUACGAAUACCAAAGAGUGAUACUCAGGAGACACACGGCGGGUGCUAACGUCCGUCGUGGAGAGGGAAACAACCCAGACCGCCAGCUAAGGUCCCCAAGUCUAUAUUAAGUGGGAAACGAAGUGGGAAGGCUUAGACAGCUAGGAUGUUGGCUUAGAAGCAGCCAUCAUUUAAAGAAAGCGUAAUAGCUCACUAGUCGAGUCGGCCUGCGCGGAAGAUGUAACGGGGCUGAAAUAUAGCACCGAAGCUGCGGCAUCAG
Molecule: ribosomal RNA, 887 nt
Filed under: Haemophilus influenzae 3655
Lineage: Bacteria; Pseudomonadati; Pseudomonadota; Gammaproteobacteria; Pasteurellales; Pasteurellaceae
Description: bacterial LSU rRNA
Rfam family: Bacterial large subunit ribosomal RNA
Source: RNAcentral